Molecule: ribosomal RNA, 204 nt
Filed under: Clostridioides difficile
Lineage: Bacteria; Bacillati; Bacillota; Clostridia; Peptostreptococcales; Peptostreptococcaceae
Description: partial 16S ribosomal RNA
Rfam family: Bacterial small subunit ribosomal RNA
Source: RNAcentral
UUUCAAGUCAGGAGUGAAAGGCUACGGCUCAACCGUAGUAAGCUCUUGAAACUGGGAGACUUGAGUGCAGGAGAGGGGAGUGGAAUUCCUAGUGUAGCGGUGAAAUGCGUAGAUAUUAGGAGGAACACCAGUUGCGAAGGCGGCUCUCUGGACUGUAACUGACGCUGAGGCACGAAAGCGUGGGGAGCAAACAGGAUUAGAUAC